This 460-nucleotide ribosomal RNA is filed under the name uncultured bacterium. RNAcentral describes it as "partial 16S ribosomal RNA". It matches the Rfam family "Bacterial small subunit ribosomal RNA", at positions 338 to 795 of the family's 1533-position model. The record is from RNAcentral.
CCUACGGGAGGCUGCAGUGAGGAAUAUUGGUCAAUGGACGAGAGUCUGAACCAGCCAAGUAGCGUGAAGGAUGACUGCCCUAUGGGUUGUAAACUUCUUUUAUAAAGGAAUAAAACGCGGCACGUGUGCCCUUUUGCAUGUACUUUAUGAAUAAGGAUCGGCUAACUCCGUGCCAGCAGCCGCGGUAAUACGGAGGAUCCGAGCGUUAUCCGGAUUUAUUGGGUUUAAAGGGAGCGUAGAUGGGUUGUUAAGUCAGUUGUGAAAGUUUGCGGCUCAACCGUAAAAUUGCAAUUGAUACUGGCAGUCUUGAGUACAGUUGAGGUAGGCGGAAUUCGUGGUGUAGCGGUGAAAUGCUUAGAUAUCACGAAGAACCCCGAUUGCGAAGGCAGCUUACUAAACUGUGACUGACAUUGAUGCUCGAAAGUGUGGGUAUCAAACAGGAUUAGAUACCCCUGUAGUC